AGAGUUUGAUCCUGGCUCAGGAUGAACGCUGGCGGCGUGCUUAACACAUGCAAGUCGAACGAAGCACUUUAUUUGAUUUCUUCGGAAUGAAGAUUUUGUGACUGAGUGGCGGACGGGUGAGUAACGCGUGGGUAACCUGCCUCAUACAGGGGGAUAACAGUUGGAAACGACUGCUAAUACCGCAUAAGCGCACAGGGUCGCAUGACCUGGUGUGAAAAACUCCGGUGGUAUGAGAUGGACCCGCGUCUGAUUAGCCAGUUGGUGGGGUAACGGCCUACCAAAGCGACGAUCAGUAGCCGACCUGAGAGGGUGACCGGCCACAUUGGGACUGAGACACGGCCCAAACUCCUACGGGAGGCAGCAGUGGGGAAUAUUGCACAAUGGGGGAAACCCUGAUGCAGCGACGCCGCGUGAGCGAAGAAGUAUUUCGGUAUGUAAAGCUCUAUCAGCAGGGAAGAAGAAAUGACGGUACCUGACUAAGAAGCACCGGCUAAAUACGUGCCAGCAGCCGCGGUAAUACGUAUGGUGCAAGCGUUAUCCGGAUUUACUGGGUGUAAAGGGAGCGCAGGCGGUACGGCAAGUCUGAUGUGAAAGCCCGGGGCUCAACCCCGGUACUGCAUUGGAAACUGUCGGACUAGAGUGUCGGAGGGGUAAGUGGAAUUCCUAGUGUAGCGGUGAAAUGCGUAGAUAUUAGGAGGAACACCAGUGGCGAAGGCGGCUUACUGGACGAUUACUGACGCUGAGGCUCGAAAGCGUGGGGAGCAAACAGGAUUAGAUACCCUGGUAGUCCACGCUGUAAACGAU
RNAcentral lists this ribosomal RNA (804 nucleotides) under uncultured bacterium. RNAcentral describes it as "bacterial SSU rRNA". It matches the Rfam family "Bacterial small subunit ribosomal RNA", at positions 8 to 810 of the family's 1533-position model. The record is from RNAcentral.